CAGCCGCCGCGGGAAUACGUAGGUCCCGAGCGUUGUCCGGAUUUAUUGGGCGUAAAGCGAGCGCAGGCGGUUAGAUAAGUCUGAAGUUAAAGGCUGUGGCUUAACCAUAGUACGCUUUGGAAACUGUUUAACUUGAGUGCAAGAGGGGAGAGUGGAAUUCCAUGUGUAGCGGUGAAAUGCGUAGAUAUAUGGAGGAACACCGGUGGCGAAAGCGGCUCUCUGGCUUGUAACUGACGCUGAGGCUCGAAAGCGUGGGGAGCAAACAGGAUUAGAGACCCCAGUAGUCCCUGUCUCUUAUACC
Molecule: ribosomal RNA, 301 nt
Filed under: uncultured bacterium
Lineage: Bacteria
Description: partial 16S ribosomal RNA
Rfam family: Bacterial small subunit ribosomal RNA
Source: RNAcentral